This is a long non-coding RNA of Rhagoletis pomonella (apple maggot), 559 nucleotides long. RefSeq lists it as uncharacterized. Lineage: Eukaryota; Metazoa; Arthropoda; Insecta; Diptera; Tephritidae. The record is from RefSeq and is a predicted model, not a curated record. The transcript is spliced from 2 exons.
UCAUAUGAUGAAUUUUGUCAGUGUUGUGGGAAUAGGGCGGUUAGUGUGCUAAACGACAUUUCAAUUGUGCAAGUUGCGUUUAAAAUCAAAAAAGUUUUCAGGAGGGUUCUCAAUGUAUCGAAAGAAAAGUAUCGAUACUUACUUGGUAUCGGAUUGAAAAGCAUCGAGUGAAAAAAUACUUGGUAUCGCAGCAAAAGUAUCGAGUAUCGUUUGAUCCCUAGUGUUGAGUUCAGCUGGAUAUUUUUGUUACUGCUAUUGUAGGCACAGAUGUAGGUUGUACAGAUAUCCUAAUUAUAAGCUUUAAAGUUACAUAAAGCUUACUAAGGUGAGAAAGUUUGCUAAACAAAGACGGACUUCAGAGCUUCCAGACGAUAACAUCCUGUUAUUAUGAAUAAAGCUUGAAUACAUCUGUUGAUAGGCGCUUUCGCAUUCAAGUAAAUGGCAGAUCUGAGCAAAAAAUAUAGUUUCACUAUGACAGCGUAGCUGAAAACAUCGCGUUACGAAUGUAUUUAGUUAAGCGGGAGCAUCUUUUGAGUUUGUGCUGCGGGCCUUAAUAAAA